Molecule: long non-coding RNA, 594 nt
Filed under: Rattus norvegicus (Norway rat)
Lineage: Eukaryota; Metazoa; Chordata; Mammalia; Rodentia; Muridae
Description: long non-coding RNA NONRATT017877
Source: RNAcentral
CCAUCGUCAGCCUGUCAGGAACCAGCAAUGCUACCCUGUGUCGUGACCUCGUCUCUCGGCUCUUCAACAUCUCCUCCUGCCCCUUUUCCCAAUGCUCCUUCAAUGGGGUCUUCCAGCCUCCCGUGGCUGGAAACUUCAUAGCCUUUUCUGCUUUCUACUAUACUGUGGACUUCCUGACAACAGUGAUGGGGCUGCCUGUGGGAACCCUGAAGCAGCUGGAGGAAGCCACAGAGAUCACCUGCGCCCUCUAGGGGUGAACUGGGAGCCUCUCCCAACUCCCUACUAUCCCUCCCUUCCAGAGGGCAUCUCUGACCCUGAAGCAGCCUGGAAACCAACGUUCCCUAUCUACAUUCACAGAAAGCCUACGUGGGCAGCCCUGAGUUCUCAAUUAAUCCUCCUCUCUCUUCCUAGGAUGUCAGGUCUCAGCCUGUGACUCAGGGUGAGGUCCAUUCGGAGUGGGACUUUUGUUCUGAUCUUCAGGGCCCUGGGAACUUUCUGUCUGGGCCUUUAGAAAGGCAGGCACCAGAGCCUACAGGCUGGGAGUCAGUUCCAUGCCUACUUGUAAAAACUUUUGUAAUAAAAGAUUUUUCCUAG